This 71-nucleotide transfer RNA is filed under the name Loxodonta africana (African savanna elephant). It matches the Rfam family "tRNA". From Rfam's summary of the family: Transfer RNA (tRNA) molecules are approximately 80 nucleotides in length. Lineage: Eukaryota; Metazoa; Chordata; Mammalia; Proboscidea; Elephantidae. The record is from Rfam by way of RNAcentral.
GCAUUGGUGGUUCAGUGGUAGAAUUCUCACCUUCCAUGCGAGAGAUCUGGGUUUGAUUUCCAGCCAAAGUA